Armigeres subalbatus is the source of this 584-nucleotide long non-coding RNA. RefSeq lists it as uncharacterized. The transcript is spliced from 3 exons. The record is from RefSeq and is a predicted model, not a curated record. Lineage: Eukaryota; Metazoa; Arthropoda; Insecta; Diptera; Culicidae.
CGCAAAGCAGGCUAGACCCGAGCCGGGAAAUAUUUGUUAAAAUAAGUCUGACAGGCAAAAAUAGUGAUUAUACUGGACGAUAGUUAAAUUGUGCCAGUAAGAACAAGUGGAUGUGAAGCAGCAGAUUUACGAUAAGUGAUGCUCCUCCUGGAUCACCGCAUGCGAAUGCAUGUUAUCAUGGAGUAGAGUGGAAUAACUUCUGAGAUCGGCCUUUCGUUUCAACCUAAAAGCGAUGGUGGAGAAUGCCAUAAUUUUGGCGCAGUGGUUGGUGCUUCCGAGCAAGGAAUGACGGGUCGGUGAUGGAAUACCCGAGAUGCGCCCUGAGUUGUCCGGACAAAACCCCCUUCUCUGCAGUCGCCGCGGGAUACUCCUACCCAACACACUGACGCCCAUUACAUCUAGGUUUAAGUUCACACCCUAACCGUAAGUAAUAAACCGCUACUAAUGAAUGAUGUAAAAUUUAUGCUUUGAUUUUGCCAUGGAUGAACUCGAUUGAAGACUUUGGUAGGUUCCCAGUUGUAAGAACCUGGUAGUUUGGAAUGAUUGGUUCCUGUUGUAAGGAAGCCAAUGUCCUCGCAUCUCCU